Molecule: long non-coding RNA, 509 nt
Filed under: Schizosaccharomyces pombe (fission yeast)
Lineage: Eukaryota; Fungi; Ascomycota; Schizosaccharomycetes; Schizosaccharomycetales; Schizosaccharomycetaceae
Description: non-coding RNA, LTR-proximal
Source: RNAcentral
AAUAGAAACGGUCGAGAAAGAAUUAUUAUUUGACAACGAAUCCCUCAAGUAAAGUAAGUAUAAUAAGGGAAUCCUAAAUAUUGAACUUCCCUGAGUAAAAACCGUUGAUGCUGAAUCAAAAUAUUCCUAUUUCGGGUUCUUUUAAACUUUUUUUAUGGAAAAGGACAUGUUCCUUAAAUUCGUCGGCUAGGUAAAUGUUAAAAAAUUUAUGCGAGAUUACAAUGUCAAUGUCACUUGAUAAAGUAAUCCACAGUAAAGUUUACAAUGAUUAAACAGAACAUUGCAAACGAUGUUUGAAGUUAUAGGGAUUUUUACGUUGAAAUUAAACGGGUGGUUUGUCGCCUCAAAUUCACAUGGUCUAUCUCUGAUACGUCCGAUAUUGCUACUGAUUUUAGGAAAUUAUACUGGUUUGUUGCAUUCAUCAACGCCUUGAACACUGAAUUAAAUCUUCUCUUUUUUUAAACUAAUUCGCACUUCAUAUUUCCCGCUAUCUCCCAUUGAUUCAUAAA